GCCUCCUUAGCUCAGCUGGCAGAGCAACUGACUCUUAAUCAGUGGGUCCACGGUUCGAACCCGUGAGGGGGUACCA
RNAcentral lists this transfer RNA (76 nucleotides) under Acholeplasma sp. RNAcentral describes it as "tRNA-Lys". It matches the Rfam family "tRNA". From Rfam's summary of the family: Transfer RNA (tRNA) molecules are approximately 80 nucleotides in length. Lineage: Bacteria; Bacillati; Mycoplasmatota; Mollicutes; Acholeplasmatales; Acholeplasmataceae. The record is from RNAcentral.